Molecule: long non-coding RNA, 1760 nt
Organism: Myotis brandtii (Brandt's bat)
Lineage: Eukaryota; Metazoa; Chordata; Mammalia; Chiroptera; Vespertilionidae
Exons: 2
Source: RefSeq, a predicted model, not a curated record
UGGGGUGGGAGCACACCUGGCUGCUGUGCCUAGAGGCUUGCCCUUGCCCUCCUCCCGUCCUCACCAUCCAUCUGUGGUUGGCCAGGCUGAGGACUGACCCAGUCAAGCAGGUUUAUUGUGACCAUGGGCUUCAGUGUCAUCACUUAGCUGGCGCUGGUCCAGUGCUGAUGCAACACAGAUAUUCUCUCUGUGAAUACAGCCUGCCCAGGGAGAUUGGUGGUAGCGUCCCAGUUUCUCAGAAAUGGCAGUUGAGUCCCUGCAUCACAUUAAAUUUAGCAGAUCCGCAAUUUGGACCCGUGCUCCUGACCACUUGGUUGCCCCUGCUUCUCUCUGUUCAUGAUCCACACUAGGCCACCUGCGUGGUGCACUGGCUGUGCCCUUUCACCGGGGAGAACUGGCUUUUCUGCCCCUCUCUGCGGCCCCUUCCCCCCCCAAAUGGUCCAGGAAAGGCUCGGCCUGAACAGGUUAGACCAGGGACUGUUCUCUGAGCCUACUCCUGCUGACCCAGCUCUCGGGGCCCCUUUCUCAAGCAGCCGUGCUGACACAGGCAGAGCAGUCACAGGUGUUCCCAGUGGCAGUUCUCCCUGAGCCUGGCUGAUCUCAUGCUGCCCCUGAGGAGAGAGUCCCACAUGGAGGCCUGGGCACCUCUGUCCCCUUUGCUUGCCUCCUGUCUCUGGUUGUGGGCAGCUACUCCCAGUGACCUGAGUUUGUGUCACCAAUUGCAAGUGGACAGGGAGGAGAAAAAGAAACUAGCUUUGGUUUAUUGAGCACUUACUACAUGCCAGACACAGACUCUUAGUCCCUACACACCCCUUAAGUUCAGAGUGGGUAGGGCGUCAUAGGACAUGGACUGUGUCUGCUGCCUCUUGUGGACUACCUUCAGAGUCCAGGUCAAGCAGGUGCUCCCUGUGCUAGUUUGCCCUGCCCGGGCUCUGCAACCUCUUAGCAGUAUGACCUUGGAUAGGUCAUUUCACCUCAGUUCUCCCAUCUGUAAAAUGGGAUUGUACUAGUACCUGUUUCACAGGGUUGUUCUGAGGAUGAAAUGACUGUUCCUGGUACGUGGUCAGGUAGUUGGAGCAGCCUUGUCCCUGCCCACUGUGGUUCUUCCCAGCCCUGUGCCAGAGAGCCAUGUUCCUAGUCUCCUGCCACCUACCCUGCAUGUGGUGGGAGCUUGUGUUUGGAGUGUUCUGUGGGAGAGCAUAGGCAGGAGAGUGGAAGGGACCCCCACCUUAGUGGGAAGGCAGGGUGGGGCAGGGGUGGAUAGCAGUGGAAGAUUCAUUGCCACAAACCCCAACUAAUAGCAUGUAUGCCAUUGGACUCCCUCCUGCGGGCCCCAUGCCAGCCUCCCUGCCCACUACAUUGCCCUUGCAAGAGUGCUUUCUCUUCUGCCCUGGCUACCCUCCUUUGCUUAGAGCUAAACUCCAUGUAGUGGGGAACAGGAGACCUGGCGGGAUUUGUGGGAGUGGACACUGACAGGAAGGCCCAGGUCAGAGCACUUGGCCAUUUUGAGGCAGCCAAACUGCUCUUGUAAGGGAAGAAAUAAAGGCCUGGCCCUUGGAGCUGCCGUUCACUAAGGCAUUGUAGGAUCCAGGCUUCUCUAGCCCAAGUUCGGGUUUCCCCAGCUUGUGUCUGCUUCUCAGGCCAGCCAUAGAAUACUUUUUAUUAUUGCUGCUGUCUUUUCCCUGUAGACUUAAGCACAUCUCUCUCUUUUUGUUGAAUUUAUUGGGGUGACAUUGGUUAAUAAAAUUAUAUAGGUUUCA